CUCCUUUCCUUCAAAGAACACCUCUGUAUAACAGAGACACUUUCUCGACCCAAAGUGUCCAUUGUAUAGAGGCUCCAUUGUAAUACAUGUACACACACUCUGUCUUUCUUCCUUUUAUAGAGAGAUGAUCCCAUCACUUGAAUUACUAGCCAACAUGAGCUAUCAAGCAAAAGUUGUAGAAAUAAUGACUGCUCAUGUUCAUGAUAUAAUUAAUGUGAGUGAAGAGGAGUUAAAA
This is a long non-coding RNA of Amphimedon queenslandica, 235 nucleotides long. RefSeq lists it as uncharacterized. The transcript has 2 exons. Lineage: Eukaryota; Metazoa; Porifera; Demospongiae; Haplosclerida; Niphatidae. The record is from RefSeq and is a predicted model, not a curated record.